Molecule: RNA transcript, 5009 nt
Organism: Balaenoptera acutorostrata (minke whale)
Lineage: Eukaryota; Metazoa; Chordata; Mammalia; Artiodactyla; Balaenopteridae
Gene: ADAM33
Gene name: ADAM metallopeptidase domain 33
Exons: 21
Source: RefSeq, a predicted model, not a curated record
GAUCCAGCCGGGGCGGAGCCGAGAGCUGGGAGCCGCAGCUCAGACGCUAGGCGCUCACAGCUAUGCGCCCGGGGUAUCGGAGCGCUCGAGGGUCGCCGGCGUUGGGGCUGCUGCUGCUACUGCGACUACCGUGGCCGGUGUGGGGGGCUGAGGCGUUUCAAGGAAACACCCCUGGAGAGCCAGUCAUCCUGCACUGGGUUCUGGAUGGACGACCCCGGCGCAUGGUCACCCUGGAGCAGCCGGUCUCGAAGCUAGAAGUGGGGCUGGUGGCCUUGAAGGCUGAAGGUCAGGAGCUCCUGCUAGAGCUGGAGAAGAAUCACAGGCUGCUGGCUCCAGGAUACACAGAAACCCACUACAGCCCAGAUGGGCAGCCAGUAGUGCUGUUCCCCAACCACACGGAUCAUUGCCACUACCAUGGGCGUGUGAGGGGCUUCCUGGACUCCUGGGUAGUCCUCAGCAUCUGCUCUGGGAUGAGGGGCCUGAUCACACUCAGCAGCAAUACCAGCUAUUAUGUGCAUCCCUGGCCAGCUGGGGACUCCAAAGACUUCUUGACCCACAAGAUCUUCCGGACGGAGCAGCUACUCAGCUGGAAAGCGGCCUGUGGCUACAGGGACCCAGGGGACAAAAGGGACAUGGCCAGCCUUUCGUGUGACACCCAGAUCAGGGAGAGGCGGGAGUCCCUGGGGAGCCCGAGGUAUCUGGAGCUGUACAUAGUGGCGGAUCACACUCUGUUCUUGACCCAGCACCGGAACUUGAACCACACCAAACAGCGUCUUCUGGAGGUCGCCAGCUAUGUGGAUCAGAUUCUCAGGACUCUGGACAUUCAGGUGGCGCUGACCGGCCUGGAAGUGUGGACCGAGGAGGACCAGAGCCGCGUAACGCCAGACGCGAACGCCACGCUCUGGGCCUUCCUGCAGUGGCGCCAGGGACUGUGGGCACGGCAGCCACACGACUCGGCUCAGCUGCUCACGGGCCGCGCCUUCCAGGGAGCCACCGUGGGCCUGGCGCCGGUCGAGGGCAUGUGCCGCGCGGAGAGCUCUGGAGGCGUGAGCACCGACCACUCGGAGCUCCCCAUUGGUGCUGCAGCCACCAUGGCCCACGAGAUAGGCCACAGCCUCGGCCUCAGCCACGACCCCGACGGCUGCUGCGUGGAGGCAGCGGCGGAGCAGGGCGGCUGCGUGAUGGCCGCAGCUACCCGGUACCCGCGCCGGGGCGGGGGCGGGGCUGCAGGACAGGCUCCGCGGGACUCGCCUUCCUCAGCUGCAUUUCUUUGGGCGAAAUGGCACCCGUUCCCGCGAGUGUUUAGCGCCUGCAGCCGCCGCCAGCUGCGCGCCUUCUUCAGGAAGGGAGGAGGCUCGUGCCUCUCCAACGCGCCGGACUCCGGGCUCCUGGUGCCCCGGGCGUACUGCGGGAAUGGCUUCGUGGAAGAGGGCGAGGAGUGCGACUGCGGCGCCGGCCAGGAAUGCCCGGACUCCUGCUGCCUUGCCCACAACUGCUCGCUGCGUGCGGGGGCCCAGUGCACCCACGGGGACUGCUGCGCACACUGCCUGCUGAAGCCGGCGGGUGCGCCUUGCCGCCGGUCUGCGGGCGACUGUGACCUCCCUGAAUUCUGCACGGGCGCCUCCCCCUAUUGCCCCCCAGACAUUUACCUACUGGACGGCUCGCCCUGCGCCAGAGGCCGCGGCUACUGCCGGGACGGCGCGUGUCCCACGCUGGAGCAUCAGUGCCAGCAGCUCUGGGGGCCUGGCUCCCGCCCAGCCCCGGAGGCCUGUUUCCAGGUAGUGAACUCUGCGGGAGACGCCCAUGGGAACUGCGGCCAGCAGGGCGACAGCAGCUUCUUGCCCUGUGCGCAGAGCGAUGCGCAGUGUGGGAAACUGCAGUGCCAGGGCGGGGAGCAGAGCGCACUGGCGCCACACAUGGUGCCGGUGGACUCCACCAUACCCCUAGGCAGCCGCCAGGUGACCUGCAAGGGAGCCUUCGUGCUGCCCGGCACCCACCUGGACCUGCCUGAUUUGGGCCUGGUUGAGUCAGGCACCCAGUGUGGACCUAGAAUGGUGUGCCAGGAAAGGCGCUGCCAGAACACUACCUUCCGAGAGCUGGACCUCUGCCUGACCACCUGCCAUGGUCACGGGGUUUGCAAUAGUAACCAUAAUUGCCACUGUGCUCUGGGCUGGGCUCCGCCUUCCUGUGACAAGCCAGGGUUUGGUGGUAGUGUGGACAGCGGUCCUAUGCAGUCUGAAAAGCAGGACACCUUCACGCUGGCGGUGAUCCUUAGUUUUCUGCUGCCUCUGCUUCCUGGGGCUGGUCUGGCCUGGUGCUGCUGCCGGCACCCGGAACUCCGUCUCCAACAAUGCCUUUGGGGCUCAAGGAGGGACCCCAUGUGCAGUGGACCUUGAGAACUCUGCCAGAGCCCAACAGCCACCUUGAGAAGCCUGUGCCCCAUGGCCCUGCUUGUACCCCCAAGUAGGUAGAGUCCAACAGCCAAGAUCCUGUCUCUGGUGAAAAGUGACUCCUGAGAUGAGAAGACUUAAGGACAGGUGGCUACUGACAGCCACACCAAGAACUUGGACCCCGCCCCUCAGGGGCAGAGCCAGCCAGUCAGCAGACCUCUUGCACCUUCAGGCAGCUUCGAAAUUUCUUCCCUGAGUUACCGCCACACCAGCUACUCCAGGACCCUGGAGCCUCAUCAAAAUUUCCUCAGUGCUGUCCCCAUUCCUUAGGGCUGCGGGAUCCUGCUAGGGUACACCCUCCAGCUCAAGCGAGAAUCCAUCAGUCCCAGGAGGGAAGGUCAUGUAGUCACUGACCUCCCGUCACUAGGGGGCGCUGGGUCAUGCUGGGCACCCAGAGAGGCCUCUGUCCAGGCAGCCUAGGUGUGUCUGCUACACUCACUUUAUUCGGACCUAGCUCUUUGGAGGACAGUGACUGCUGGGCCAGAAGCCUGGACUCCAGGGGCCCUACAUUUCAGACUGAGUCUACUUCCCUGGAGCCUGGCCCCUGCAAAACAAACAAACGAAAUCCUUGGGACCUUCCUUCCUGCUGUCUCCUACCCUCUCUUGUCCCUCAGAUGCUUCCUUAGCCCUACCCCACUCCUAGUCCUUAGGUGAGGUUUCAGAGACGCAUGGGGCCUGCUGCAGUCCCCUUACUUUGGACAUUAAUCAGCCUCUCCUCCAUUCCAUGGGAGGGGACAAAGGAAGCCAUUUUGGAAAGGACACCAAAGUAGAAGUCAGAAGAAAGACAUGUUGCCCUGGGACUUCUAUCUUUUCUGUCUGUAAAUUCAACACCAUGGGGCUCCCUGAGGGUGACAAAGGGUGGUGGCUGGUGGGUGGAGCCUCAGAUGACAGCCAGGCCCCGUAUGUAUCGGGGCAUAGGAUGGUGUUGCCUAGCUUGAAUGUUCCCUUUGCUCCACCUCUCCUGCCUCCCCUGGACACUCAGCAGCCAUUUACUCUCUCCCCUUGCUUCAUGCAAAAGUUGCUGAGUGACCUUCUUUAUCAGCUAGCUGUUGCUACAUAACAAGACCACCCCAAAACUUAGUAGCUUAAAACAAUAACCAAUUCUGUGAAUUGGCAAGUCAGCUGGUGGUUCGAUUGGUCUCAGCUCAGCUCAGCUCACUUAUACAUUUGCAGUCAGCCGCUGGUCGCUGCUUCUGGGGUUGGCUGGCUGUUGGCUAGGGUGAUGGGGAUGAGCGGGCUAGCCCAGGCCUGUUCACAUAACAGUUGGGGAGGGUUCUAAGAGAGCAGGACCAGGAUUAGAGUGAGACAAGGGAGGUAUUCACCUUGGGCACAAAAAGUAAUCAAGAUAAGAGAUAUUUUAAUGUAAUAUUUUUAAAGAUAAAAAUUAAUACAAAAGUCCACGAUGAACAAAAUAUCAAAAAUUUAACUAAAGACAGGAUCAGUUACCAUACCAAGGCAUUUUUGGAGCCUGAGGAAGAAAGAAAAAUCAGUAGUUGUGAUUCUGAGGCAAGUACCUCACUCACCUCCUCUUGCAGAAGAGUAUGUGGAAGCUUGUCAGGCUUCUUGAGAGUCCAUGACUGGCACAUUUUACUUCCAUAACAUUCUGUGGGCCCAAGCAAGUCACAGGGCCAGCCCAGGUUCCAGGGAUUGGGAGGCAAACUCCACCUCCCCUCCAGGGAGGAGCAGCAAAAUCAUAUUUCAUAGGGUGUGAAGAACUGGGGAAUUUUUGCAAUCACCCACUGGCAGCAGAGAAGCAGCCCCAAGGCUCAGGCCUUGCUUUCACUCUACCAGCUGAAGGCGCUGAAUGAGACUGUCUGCUAAAGCCCACUCCUGUGUUCGCUGUGGGAUUCUGAUUUAUAGAGAUGACAUAGCAAUGAGACAGAGAAGUUAAUGCCAUUGAAAGAAGUUUUUAUGGCUUGCAUUUCCCUCGAGAGGGGGACUGCCCACCGUGCAGGGCAACAUAGGGAAGCACCCAGUUUGCAAGGAAAGACUGAGGAACUACCACAGACUGGAAGAAACUAAGGUGACAUGACGACUAAGUGCAAUGUGGGAUGCUGGAUGGGAUCCUGGAACAGAAAAAGGACAUUAGUGGAAAGACUGGGGAAAUUCAAAGUGGUCUAUAGUUAAGUGUCUUGUACCAACAUGAAUUUCCUAGUUUUAACAAUUGUACUAUGGUCAGGUAAGAUGUUGAUGUUAGGGGAAACUUGGUGAGGGAUAUAAAGAGAACGCUAGCAUUUUUGCAAUGCUCUAACUUUUCUGCAAGUCUAAAAUUAGCUAAUAAAAAGUUAACAAUAAAACUAUAAAAGAAGGAAAAGAACAGUGUUGUUUCAUAGAGUUAAUGGUUUAGCGUGGGAGAGACAAGGUCUCCUUGGGUUGUUGUGUGGGCGUUGCUGUGUGUGUGUUGGGGGGUGUGGUGGGAUCCAUCUAGGCACAUUCAGGCGCUGGACUCAGUGGCUCCCAGAUCUGCGUGAAGGCGCAGCCUGGGUGGGGACUCAUUGGGGGCGGGGAGUCAUUCCUGAUGCAAAGGCUCCUCCCCCCAGAAGAGCGCAUCAGCGCAGA